CUAUAAUGUAAAUAAUGUAAAUGGAGACCACAGCAGCGAUUCUGCUCUUGCCCUACCUCUUCAAUGAGGACCCGAGUGGCCUUUAUGUCCGUGACAAGAUUUCACCGCUCUUCACUCCUUUACUGCACAUCGGUGGAAAUCCAUUUCACCAUGAGAGUGAAAUCCCGCUGGCCUUUGAUGGGGAGAACAUCCACGCCCUCGAGGACGUCCCCAUGGGACUUGGAGCUCUGCUACGGCUGGAUUUUUUAUUUUCCCUUAAAUUUCCCAAAAAUGACUCUCCACAGCUACGAAGCAUCUCUCCAAACAUACUCACAACGGAACCAAAAAAUAUACGUUUGUUUCCCGGACAAUGACCAUGGGAUCCUCAACGGUUCUCUAACCUCCCAGAGACCACGGCAAAAUCAAGCCUCACAGGAACUAUAGACCUUCCGCUGCUUUCUAAAAUAUCAUCCCCCUCUCAAUACCACCCCGUGAUCUUCUAUGAUGGGCAGUGAAGGAACGGAACCCCA
RNAcentral lists this long non-coding RNA (509 nucleotides) under Salmo salar (Atlantic salmon). RNAcentral describes it as "lncRNA (ENSSSAG00000089524.1)". The record is from RNAcentral. Lineage: Eukaryota; Metazoa; Chordata; Actinopteri; Salmoniformes; Salmonidae.